The sequence is a ribosomal RNA, 520 nucleotides long. It matches the Rfam family "Bacterial large subunit ribosomal RNA", at positions 1830 to 2567 of the family's 2925-position model.
GCCUUUUGACAAAAUAUAAGAGGUCCAGCCUGCCCAGUGACAAAGUUAAACGGCCGCGGUACCCUAACCGUGCAAAGGUAGCACAAUCACCUGUUCUCUAAAUAAGGACUAGUAUGAACGGCAUCACGAGGAUUAUGCUGUCUCCCCCCUUUAAUCUAUGAAACUGAUCCCCCCGUGAAGAAGCGGGGAUAAACCUAUAAGACGAGAAGACCCUGUGGAGCUUUAAGCUAACACCACUUACCUCAAAAUACACCAUAACAAACAGAUAAGCUUGUGUACUAGCUUUAGGUUGGGGCGACCGCGGAGUAAAACUAAACCUCCACGAUGAAAGACCAUUCUUUCUAAUCCAAGAGCAACACCUCAAAGAAUCAACAAACUGACAUAAUUGACCCAAUACUUUGAUCAACGAACCAAGUUACCCCAGGGAUAACAGCGCAAUCCAUUUCAAGAGCUCAUAUCGACAAAUGGGUUUACGACCUCGAUGUUGGAUCAGGGUAUCCCAGUGGUGCAGCCGCUACUA